AUGCUUCAGAAUCUUGCCAGUGUCUCCUAAUAUUCUCAGUGUCUUCUUCAUAUUUCUCAGCCCCCAUCCUUGCAGAACCAUUCAAGGGAUCAGUCCUGGCCAAAAGACUAUGAACUGAAAUGUCACAUAGCAUAUAUGAACUAAACCAGUUAGGUAAGUGUGCC
Vicugna pacos (alpaca) is the source of this 164-nucleotide non-coding RNA. NCBI's taxonomy places the organism in Eukaryota, Metazoa, Chordata, Mammalia, Artiodactyla, Camelidae. The record is from RefSeq and is a predicted model, not a curated record.